Carya illinoinensis is the source of this 478-nucleotide long non-coding RNA. RefSeq lists it as uncharacterized. The transcript is spliced from 3 exons. Lineage: Eukaryota; Viridiplantae; Streptophyta; Magnoliopsida; Fagales; Juglandaceae. The record is from RefSeq and is a predicted model, not a curated record.
AAGAGAAAUCCUGGGGACCGGUCCGACUGUUAAAACCAAAAUAACAGCCCUCCAAUAACCAUGCGCCACGUAAGAGGUUCAUUGGAAAAAAUCUGCAUCUGCGUACACCCGAUCAAAUGACUCUCCCCUCUUUCACUCCUUCGUAUUCCCUUUCUUCCUCGCUUUUUCCACUCAAUCCCUGAAGCUCUCGACCCCCUCAUCCCGCAUGGGGCUCGACCCAAACGGUAGCAGAGCUCAAUUCAGACGAUGAAGAAGACCCAAACGGUGGUCUGAAAAAAUGGAGAUGUCGGCGUCGGACUGAGAUGGUGGCAGUGGAACUAAGCUUUGUUGGGCGGCAAGGAUUGAUGGCUGUGCAAAGCAACGCUGAGCUUGGAGCGAAGACGGAAUGAACCUGAGAGAGAAUGGAGAUGCUAAUUUCUGGGCUGCUUUUCAGGCUUUGACAGACGGACCGCUCCACAGCGCCUCGCAAAAAAAAAAU